RNAcentral lists this non-coding RNA (201 nucleotides) under Clostridium autoethanogenum. Its description in RNAcentral is "T-box sequence". It matches the Rfam family "T-box leader". Rfam says of the family: Uncharged tRNA acts as the effector for transcription antitermination of genes in the T-box leader family. T-boxes are found upstream of many aminoacyl-tRNA synthetase genes and some amino acid biosynthetic genes usually in Gram-positive bacteria. The record is from RNAcentral. Lineage: Bacteria; Bacillati; Bacillota; Clostridia; Eubacteriales; Clostridiaceae.
AUAAAAGCUAUGAUAGGAUUAAUUAGAUAUGUUAAUAUUUUUUUACAGAGAGUGGGGUAAGGUGAAAACCCAUAAAUAUACAUGUUGAAACUCACCCUGGAGCUGUGGACUGAAUGUUUAGUAGGUCUAAUCGGUUGUUUAACCGUUAUGUUAAUUAAGUAAAAAAAUGGGUGGUACCGCGGCAGACUUUUCGCCCCAGCG